This is a long non-coding RNA of Monodelphis domestica (gray short-tailed opossum), 1788 nucleotides long. Lineage: Eukaryota; Metazoa; Chordata; Mammalia; Didelphimorphia; Didelphidae. The record is from Ensembl.
CUUAGGGACCACAAGAGUGUCAGUUUUCCCUGACAACUGCCUAACAAGCUGGUCGGGAACCAUUUAUUAAGCACCUACUAUGUGCCAGGCACUGUGCUAUGCUCUGGGAAUAAAAAAAUAAAGAGGCAAAAGAAAGUCCCUGAAGGGUAGGAAGGCGGCUCUGGCGAUAGAGGGCCAAGCCUAGAGGCCGGAGGUUCUGGGUUCGAAUUUGAUCUCAGAUACUUCUUAGCAGUAUGACGCUGGGCAAGUCAUUAAACUCCAAUCGCCUAAUUCUUGCCUCUCUCUGCCUUGGACCAGUACCUGUAUCAAUUCUAAGACAGAAGGUGAGGGUUUAGGGGGGAAAAAAGAAAUAGAAAGUCCCAGCCCUCAAGGAGAUGAUAAGCAAAUAAGCAAGUGCCAGAUAAAGAGGAAGUAAUUGACAGGAAAAGCCUUGGGAUGGGAAGAGAACUUGGGAAAGGCUUCCUGGGGAAGAUGAGGUUUUAGCUAGGACUUGAAGGAGGCCAGAGAAGGGACCGGAAGGAGGAAGGAGACUAUUCUAGGCAUAACCAGAGAAAAUGGCGUAGAACGAAGAGGUGGAGGCCUUUUGUUAGUGGAAAGGCCAGUGUCCCUGGAGGAAGGUGGAGGAAGCCUGGCAGGUUGUGAUGGGCUUUGAAGGGCGUUUGAUUGUGGAGGCAAUAAUAAGGCCGAGUGACCUUCUCUGCUCUGUACAUCCAUAGAGCCAUCUACAAAGGACUUAACCUAGAACCUGUUCAAAUCUAUUUGAUCUGUAUUAAUUUUUUCAGCAAUUUUUGACAGUUAUUUUCUGACAUUUUAGGAUUCAGCUUUUCCCCUUCACUCCCUUCCUUCCUUCCCCCCUUCCCCUGAGGCAGGAAAUAGUCUGAUAGAGGUUAUACUGGUACUUUCCUGCGGUACAUAUUUCUACCCAUGAAUAUAGUGAAAAUAACCACCUUGAAAAUCCCAUCUCAAUAUAAUGGUUGUGUUUAUAAGGCUCUGUGUUUUAUUCGAUGUAGGUAUACACACUUUUGGAGGAGGAGGCCCUAGACUUCACCAGAGUCAUUGCCCAAGGAGCCCGUGGCACCAAAACAGGGAAGACCCUUGGGCUCAGCUGAUCCCCGAAGGCCCAAUGGUCUUCCAUGAAGCCAACAUUCAGUGUUCCAAGUCUCUUUUUGCAGAGAGGUGGCUCUGGCUGGCAGCAUCCUAAGCUUCUUGGCAUCUUGGUGUGGUGGCAGCUAUUGUCUGGUUUAGUGGCGAGUUUCCCUUGAUACCAUACUGGAGGAAGACUAGUAACCUAGUUCAGGAGAGGUGCCUUCUCUGAGCUCUCUCAGAGUUUAGGCUGAUUCUUUCUCCUUUACCUUCCAAACAUUGUCCACUUAGAAGUCUCUAAUCUUCAGAAACCUUGUGGCAGAGGACUUUGAACUCCCCCUGGCACAGGCUGGGCAGGAGAAAUUCUAUACCCUUUCCCUCUCUCUUCUUGAUUUCUUCCCUCUAUAUUGAUUAAACCACCAUAGAUUUCCAAACUGACUUGGGUAUUUUAUUUGGGAUAUCCCCUGGUGACCAAAAAUUAAAUUUAGAUUAGGUCAUGACCCUAAAUUAUCCUUACAACAAUCAACUACACAGGAUUGUUUGGGGAAAGCAUUUUGUAAACCUGAAUGCUCCAGAGAAAGGGUGGGGUUUGGGGGUAGGUGGGGAAAUGGGGACAUGGGUUGAUUUUGGAGUGAAUUGUAUCAAUAUUAAUUUUAUUUUUUAUUUAUUGCUUUAAUGCUAAUAAAAUUGCUUUAGUAGAACUCA